This 543-nucleotide ribosomal RNA is filed under the name uncultured Actinomycetes bacterium. RNAcentral's name for it is "bacterial SSU rRNA". It matches the Rfam family "Bacterial small subunit ribosomal RNA", at positions 878 to 1425 of the family's 1533-position model. The record is from RNAcentral. Lineage: Bacteria; Bacillati; Actinomycetota; Actinomycetes.
GAGUACGAUCGCAAGAUUAAAACUCAAAGGAAUUGACGGGGCCCCGCACAAGCAGCGGAGCAUGCGGCUUAAUUCGACGCAACGCGAAGAACCUUACCAAGGCUUGACAUAUACAGGAAUAUGGCAGAGAUGUCAUAGCCGCAAGGUCUGUAUACAGGUGGUGCAUGGUUGUCGUCAGCUCGUGUCGUGAGAUGUUGGGUUAAGUCCCGCAACGAGCGCAACCCUCGUUCUGUGUUGCCAGCAUUUAGUUGGGGACUCACAGGAGACUGCCGGGGUUAACUCGGAGGAAGGUGGGGAUGACGUCAAAUCACCAUGCCCCUUAUGUCUUGGGCUGCGCGCAUGCUACAAUGGCUGGUACAAACGGCUGCAAUACCGCAAGGUGGAGCGAAUCCGAGAAAGCCAGUCUCAGUUCGGAUUGGGGUCUGCAACUCGACCCCAUGAAGUCGGAGUUGCUAGUAAUCGUAGAUCAGCAACGCUACGGUGAAUACGUUCCCGGGGCUUGUACACACCGCCCGUCACGUCACGAAAUCGGUAACACCCGAA